Molecule: non-coding RNA, 93 nt
Organism: Boletus reticuloceps
Lineage: Eukaryota; Fungi; Basidiomycota; Agaricomycetes; Boletales; Boletaceae
Source: the annotation of a GenBank genome assembly
GGCAUGAUGGCCGAGCGGUCUAAGGCGCUGGAAUCAGGCUACGAUGUAUCCAUCCAGUCCGAAAGGGCGGGAGUUCGAAUCUCCCUCAUGUCA